Molecule: transfer RNA, 71 nt
Filed under: Caudoviricetes sp.
Lineage: Duplodnaviria; Heunggongvirae; Uroviricota; Caudoviricetes
Description: tRNA-Gln
Rfam family: tRNA
About the family: Transfer RNA (tRNA) molecules are approximately 80 nucleotides in length. Their secondary structure includes four short double-helical elements and three loops (D, anti-codon, and T loops).
Source: RNAcentral
UAGGGUGUCGACUAAUGGUAGGUCAGUAGGUUUUGACCCUGCUAAUUCUGGUUCGAGUCCAGACACCCUAG